This 1146-nucleotide ribosomal RNA is filed under the name uncultured organism. RNAcentral describes it as "bacterial SSU rRNA". It matches the Rfam family "Bacterial small subunit ribosomal RNA", at positions 118 to 1298 of the family's 1533-position model. The record is from RNAcentral.
UGAGAAUCUGCCUUGGGGUCGGGGACAACCACUGGAAACGGUGGCUAAUACCGGAUAAGCCUUUGGGUAAAAGAUUUAUUGCCCCAAGAGGAGCUCGCGUCUGAUUAGCUAGUUGGUGAGGUAAAAGCUCACCAAGGCAGCGAUCAGUAGCUGGUCUGAGAGGACGAUCAGCCACACUGGGACUGAGACACGGCCCAGACUCCUACGGGAGGCAGCAGUGGGGAAUUUUCCGCAAUGGGCGAAAGCCUGACGGAGCAAGACCGCGUGAGGGAGGAAGGCUCUUGGGUUGUAAACCUCUUUUCUCAGGGAAGAAGCUCUGACGGUACCUGAGGAAUCAGCCUCGGCUAACUCCGUGCCAGCAGCCGCGGUAAUACGGAGGAGGCAAGCGUUAUCCGGAAUUAUUGGGCGUAAAGCGUCCGCAGGUGGCGAUUCAAGUCUGCUGUCAAAGCACGGGGCUUAACUCCGUUAAGGCAGUGGAAACUGAAUAGCUAGAGUGCCGUAGGGGUAGAGGGAAUUCCCGGUGUAGCGGUGAAAUGCGUAGAGAUCGGGAAGAACAUCGGUGGCGAAAGCGCUCUACUGGACGGCAACUGACACUCAGGGACGAAAGCUAGGGGAGCGAAUGGGAUUAGAUACCCCAGUAGUCCUAGCUGUAAACGAUGGAUACUAGGUGUAGCUUGUAUCGACCCGAGCUGUGCCGAAGCUAACGCGUUAAGUAUCCCGCCUGGGGAGUACGCACGCAAGUGUGAAACUCAAAGGAAUUGACGGGGGUCCGCACAAGCGGUGGAGUAUGUGGUUUAAUUCGAUGCAACGCGAAGAUCCUUACCAGGGCUUGACAUGUCCGGAAUCCCGGUGAAAGCUGGGAGUGCCUUCGGGAGCCGGAACACAGGUGGUGCAUGGCUGUCGUCAGCUGUUGUCGUGAGAUGUUGGGUUAAGUCCCGCAACGAGCGCAACCCUCGUCUUUAGUUGCCAGCAUUAAGUUGGGCACUCUAGAGAGACCGCCGGUGACAAACCGGAGGAAGGUGGGGAUGACGUCAAGUCAGCAUGCUCCUUACGCUCUGGGCGACACACGUACUACAAUGGUCGGGACAGAGGGCAGCGAACCUGCGAAGUCAAGCUAAUCCCAGCAAACUCGGCCUCAGUUCAGAU